Molecule: small RNA, 578 nt
Filed under: Pongo abelii (Sumatran orangutan)
Lineage: Eukaryota; Metazoa; Chordata; Mammalia; Primates; Hominidae
Description: retained intron
Source: RNAcentral
UUUAUUAAAUUUUUUGCCCUCAAGACUGUCCAAGUGAUUGUCCAGGCUCGGCUUGGUGAAAAGAUUUGCACUCGUUCAUCAUCUUCUCCAACGGGUUCAGAUUGGUUCAACUUAGCAAUCAAAGACAUCCCAGAGGUUACACAUGAGGCAAAGAAGGCACUGGCAGGGCAACUGCCUGCGGUCGGGAGGUCCAUGUGUGUGGAGAUUUCACUUAAGACUUCUGAGGGAGAUUCCAUGGAGCUGGAAAUAUGGUGUCUUGAAAUGAAUGAAAAGUGUGAUAAAGAAAUCAAAGUUUCCUACACGGUGUACAACAGACUGUCAUUGCUGCUGAAGUCUCUUCUUGCUAUAACUAGGGUGACACCAGCCUAUAGGCUCUCCAGAAAACAAGGGCAUGAAUAUGUCAUAUUAUACAGGAUAUAUUUUGGAGAAGUUCAGCUGAGUGGCUUAGGAGAAGGUAUGUAUCACGGUUGAAAAACAUCGUAGUGUUCAGAGCUCUCCUAACUUCAGAGAUGAGCUUCGUUUCUACUUGUUACAAUAUGUAGAUUGUCAUUUUCACAUGCAUAAUACAAGUAAAGAAA